Molecule: long non-coding RNA, 422 nt
Organism: Eucalyptus grandis
Lineage: Eukaryota; Viridiplantae; Streptophyta; Magnoliopsida; Myrtales; Myrtaceae
Exons: 3
Source: RefSeq, a predicted model, not a curated record
GACGUUCCCAGCUUCCUCUUCACUGCUGAUAACUAAGAAUCUUGCUGCAGUGGAAAAAGGCAAGGAUGAAGAGAUGAAGAAACAGGUGGGAAAAGGAAGAGGAAAGAACAAACAGAUGUUACGGCGUACAUUAAGCAGCUUGCUUUCCCUUGUUGAAUGCAACUCUGAAAUGGAGGCUGAAAUGUGUCUUGCAAGUCCUGUUGUGUGACCUACAAAGGGAAAUUGAUUAAGCUAGACAUCGACAUUUACACAGACAAAGUAAGAUAAUACAUUCUUACAAUACAAUCCUAAGUUUUCUGGAUUAAGAGCUAACUCCUUCAUAGUAGACAAGCCUAGUGAAGAUUCAUUUGGUCUCUUCAUGAGAAAUAUGUGCGUUAUAUAUUGAUUUAUAAGUCAGUAAGUAAUGCAUGCCUAAGUGGUGA